UAGUAUUGGAGUUUUUUUGGGGUCAAUAACUAGUAUUUUGACACGUUCUUCCAUUAUAUUUUAAUCUUUUUUUAAUAAGUUGUAUGUGUUGUUAAAAUAUCAAUAUAGUGACCUCACCAUUGUUAUUAUAUGCUUCCAAGUAGAAGUUUCAACAAUAAUUCCAUUGCUUUAAAGUGGUAUUGCAAUUGGCAGUGAAACAACUCUGCAUUUGGCCAAAAUAAGAAUGUUUUACAAUGGCAGUCUCUGUGUUAUGUCUUAUUUUGUGUUAUCAAUUGCGAUCUAAUUGUUGAACCAUCUGACUGCAUUUCUCUAUAUCCUUUUACGUCUGUGUAAUUAUUUUUGCCAAGUGUGCAAGGCAGUUUGGCUCAUCU
This 371-nucleotide unclassified non-coding RNA is filed under the name Hevea brasiliensis (rubber tree). The record is from RNAcentral. Lineage: Eukaryota; Viridiplantae; Streptophyta; Magnoliopsida; Malpighiales; Euphorbiaceae.